Molecule: ribosomal RNA, 563 nt
Filed under: Halopeltis nuahilihilia
Lineage: Eukaryota; Rhodophyta; Florideophyceae; Rhodymeniales; Rhodymeniaceae
Description: partial large subunit ribosomal RNA
Rfam family: Eukaryotic large subunit ribosomal RNA
Source: RNAcentral
CAAGUACCGCGAGGGAAAGAUGACAAGCACUUUGAAAAGAGGGUGAAAAGAGCCUGAAACCGUUACAGGGGAAGCGGAUUGCGUUGGAUUGAGUGUUGAGAAUCGUAUUCAGCCAUUACGGUGUACUUACGAUUCGCGGCCAUCUGUCGUGGCUUUUUUGCAGCUGAUUUUGAGCUGCGGGAGAGUGAGGGAUCCCCUUUAUGGGUGAGGACGACAGAGCGACGACGCGAUACGACCCGUCUUGAAACACGGACCAAGGAGUCUAGCACUACUGCGAGUCAAAGGGUGUAAAAACCUGUGGGCGCAGUGAAAGCAAUCUGUAAAAACGAGCAGUUUGAGGCGGCAUAAAAUCGUUGAUUUUAGGUCUGACCUUGAGCAGUUGUGCUGGGACCCGAAAGAUGGUGAACUAUGCCUGAGUAGGGCAAAGCCAGAAGAAAUUCUGGUGGAGGCUCGUAGCGGUGCUGACGUGCAAAUCGCUCGUCGAACUUGGGUAUAGGGGCGAAAGACUCAUCGAACCAUCUAGUAGCUGGUUCCCUCCGAAGUUUCUCUCAGGAUAGCAGGCC